CAAGUUAGAGCUUGUUAUAAGUAUUUUAUUUACAUUAAAAUGAUAACUGUUAAAUUCAGUUUAACUUGA
RNAcentral lists this transfer RNA (69 nucleotides) under Batocera horsfieldi. RNAcentral describes it as "tRNA-Val". Lineage: Eukaryota; Metazoa; Arthropoda; Insecta; Coleoptera; Cerambycidae. The record is from RNAcentral.